GAUGAACGCUAGCGGCAGGCUUAACACAUGCAAGUCGAGGGGUAUUGGUUUUCGGACCAAGAGACCGGCGCACGGGUGCGUAACGCGUAUGCAAUCUACCUUUUGCAGAGGGAUAGCCCCAGAGAAAUUUGGAUUAAUACCUCAUAGUAUAGUACUUUGGCAUCAAGGAACUAUUAAAGUCACAACGGCAAAAGAUGAGCAUGCGUCCCAUUAGCUAGUUGGUAAGGUAACGGCUUACCAAGGCUACGAUGGGUAGGGGUCCUGAGAGGGAGAUCCCCCACACUGGUACUGAGACACGGACCAGACUCCUACGGGAGGCAGCAGUGAGGAAUAUUGGACAAUGGGCGCAAGCCUGAUCCAGCCAUGCCGCGUGCAGGAUGACGGUCCUAUGGAUUGUAAACUGCUUUUAUACAGGAAGAAACACUCCGACGUGUCGGAGCUUGACGGUACUGUAAGAAUAACGGAUCGGNUAACUCGUGCCAGCAGCCG
Molecule: ribosomal RNA, 489 nt
Filed under: uncultured bacterium
Lineage: Bacteria
Description: bacterial SSU rRNA
Rfam family: Bacterial small subunit ribosomal RNA
Source: RNAcentral